GGGGGUUUCAAUCAACCAACAAACAACCAAAAUAAAUUAUAAAAUUCAACUACUUUGUAUUAAUUCUUAAUAUUAUGCUGUUAAUGGUACAAAAGGACACCUUCAAGUUAAAAAAAAGCAUGACAUUUGCUCAUAAGUACUCUUCGAGGUCAGACCAUAAUUUGAUUUGAGAUUCUUCCUUUACUCUUUUGAAGUUAUCACGAGCAACCCCAAAGCACCAAUGAGAAUAUACUGCAAAACAUAAGAGACAGCUUUAGCACACUUCAUACUUGCUGCAAUUCAAAUUAUAGGAUCUACUUGCUCUAAUGUAAGGAGUUGACUUGAAAGAGAAAAGUGAUAAAUCAUAGCCCAUUGGUUUAAAAACCAUGAGAUGUAACUGCUAACUUUUCUAACUAAUGAGUAUCCCUCACUUUUAAGGGGUCACAAAUCCUAAAAUCUAUGCCAUACACCUUUAAACCUGUCAUCAUUUACCUCAGUAAAAGAUCCUGAUAAUUAUGUUUCACCAUAAACAUACAUAAAUGUAAACAACCAACUUCAGCUAAAUGAUAACACAAUAGGUUGGUGGAGCAAACAAACCUUGAUGAUAGGUUUUUCAGUCAUGAUAAUUGUCACCCAGCCAACAUAAGGUAAGAACCUGCCAUUGACAAAUACAAGCAAUAUUAACACAGAAUGUCAUAAAAUGAUUUCCAAACAUGCUUUGUUCUAUAGGAAUGCAAACUGUAGAGUUGGAUAAAUUUGGAUAAACCCUUGGUAUGUUCAAAGGUUCAACAAGUGUUAGAUAUUCCACAAGGUGUCUUCAAGCAUAAACCAUGCAUAAUACCUUAAUGUCACAAAUUUCAUUCUUAUUAUAGUUUGAGACUUAAUACUUAAAAGCACAUAACCUUAAUCUUUAUGUUACAAUUCUACAAGAAAUGCUAUACAUACCCAACAGCUCUACCCAUAAUGUGGUGCCUUUGCAGCCAAAGCUGGCCAUGAGCAUACAGUAGCCUGUCAUCCCCGUAGUUGUUAUCACCUGCCAAAAACAGCAAAAUACAACGGAAGGGUGUUACAUUGUCAGAGAACCACUAUAUAAAUUGACAACUAAACGAGAAUAAGGAAAUAUAAUAUUGGAUAAAAGAAUGAAAACCAAAUUCACUACUGAGAUUAUGAAAAUCAAAUUCACUACUGAGAUUGGGUUUUGUAUAUGUAGAGUGUAAAUUCAGCACUCUCAAUAUUUCAGUUAUAGUCACUACCUUUUGUGAGAACAUCAACCUCCCCAGUAUCUCCUCUUUCAUGUACCUACAAAAUGAUCAAGCAUUUAGAGUCUCAAACAGGACAAUCUUAACUAUCAUUCAACACAUGAAGAUCGGUCCAGGUAAUAUCAAUCUUAUCCACUAUCCUCAGAUUAGUGAUACUCUCCACUCUCCAGUUUCCACAAGUUGUCACUUGCAAAUGACAGGAUAUUGAUGAAAGUAGUUCAAACAAUACCAGAGGUUCAAAAAGUGAAGGCGGAACUUUCAAUGGUUUCAGUUCACAAUGUAUCGAUCCUUAUAUUUUUUUUAUUCAGCUAUGAUAAAUAAGAACUAAAAGCAGGUAGUGACCAUGUUGAUAGGACCCAGAUACAAAAUCAAGCUUGGUAAGCUUAAUCUGAUAUGUAAGUUAUGCAGUUACAGUUUGAAUAGGUAUCCUACACAUUCGAGAAAUGAAAUGUAUCCCUCCAUCCAGCACCGUGAACAACUUUUCCUAAUAUUCCAUCCAGGAGACAACUAUGUGAGUUGAUCACUCAUGGUCUGAGGCUCUAACAUGAGAAGGUGCAAAACACUUUGUCUCAAAGUCACAUUCAGUAAUGAUGCAACUGAUGAAAGAACGUACUAAUUCAACCAAAAUAUUGAGCUUACCUUAAUUACACGAUGCACGAUUGGAAUCUCUCGUCCCUAGAGAAAAAAAAGGGUACAUUCCAACAAACUUUGUCAGUACGGAAAGUAUCAAGCAAAAUACAAAGAAUUGGAAUCGGCUGAUAUAUAGAUAUGAAUCGAAGUAAGCAAAACAUAAAGGAUAUAAAACAGCGAGGUGAACUUACAUCUAUAUUAAAUACAACAAUCUCUCCUGCGCGAAUUGGAUCCUUACUCAUGUGUAAAAACAAGAUGUCCCCCUUCAAAAACCAACAUUCAUUAGCAACAAAAAGAAACAGACAGUUUAUAUUGACAAAUGAUUUGAAUCUAUAUAUGCAGCUUGUCUCUUCUUGACGACACUGUACUGUUGUUGUAGAAAAAUAUUAGAUACAGAAUUACCGAGGCUUCGAUGAUAAGAUUUGCUUACCCGUUUGAAGCCAGGUUCCAUACUUCCAGAAAGAACAACGACAACAGGAGAUUCACUGCCAGUGAUGCACAUCAAUGCCUUCCAUAUUAUCAGUGCAGACGUAACAAUCAUGCC
This 2412-nucleotide long non-coding RNA is filed under the name Medicago truncatula (barrel medic). Its description in RNAcentral is "lncRNA gene12849". Lineage: Eukaryota; Viridiplantae; Streptophyta; Magnoliopsida; Fabales; Fabaceae. The record is from RNAcentral.